GCGAGAUUCGGAGUCUUGUCCGGAGUCGGCUGCGCGUGGGAGCGCGGGCCCCAGCGCAGGCCGGGAUGUUUGUCCUGGUGGAGAUGGUGGACACCGUGCGGAUUCCCCCGUGGCAGUUUGAGAGGAAGCUCAACGACUCCAUUGCCGAGGAGCUGAACAAAAAGUUGGCCAACAAGGUCGUGUACAACGUGGGGCUCUGCAUCUGUCUGUUUGACAUCACCAAGCUGGAGGAUGCCUACGUGUUCCCAGGGGACGGCGCGUCGCACACCAAAGUCCAUUUUCGCUAUGUGGUGUUCCAUCCCUUCCUGGACGAGAUUCUGAUUGGCAAGAUCAAAGGCUGUAGCCCGGAGGGAGUGCACGUCUCUCUAGGGUUCUUCGAUGAUAUUCUCAUUCCCCCCGAGUCGCUGCAGCAGCCAGCCAAGUUCGACGAGGCAGAGCAGGUGUGGGUGUGGGAGUACGAGACCGAGGAAGGAGCGCACGACUUGUACAUGGACACCGGCGAGGAGAUCCGCUUCCGGGUGGUGGACGAGAGCUUUGUGGACACGUCCCCCACGGGGCCCAGCUCGGCCGAGGCCACGUCUUCCAGUGAGGAGCUGCCGAAGAAGGAGGCGCCGUACACGCUUAUGGUGGGAUCCAUCAGUGAGCCAGGUCUGGGCCUUCUCUCCUGGUGGACCAGCAGCUAGCCGUGGGGCUUGACGGCGGACCUUGGCCAGUCCGGCAGACCCCAGCCCAGCCCCGGGGAAGGUGGUGCAGCCGGCCGUGACGACCACGGCCGCUUCCGCAGAUGCCGAGGAGCAGACGUUUGGAAGGCAGGGGCCUGGACUCAGGCAAGCCAGCGCCGUCAGGAAAGUGGAGGCCGUGGGCUUAGGUGGCCCGAGGGCCGGGCGGGCGACCAGCUGUGUUAUCCCCCCACCGCCACCCCCGGCAGGACAACGGUCACUUUCAGACCUCGGCCACACCAGGAACACUCCGUGGGCCUGCUGGCGGCGCCAAAUCCCAGACGAGGGCACACAGCACCUUGUUUAUUCAGCACAAGGGCUCUGCCAGGUUCCUCCUGCCUCUUCACUCACUUCCGCAGGACCCGCAGGCUCGUUUCAUGGCGCCCACAGGACACCGAGUUUCUGUCAGGCAAGUCUCGUGCUGAGGAAGGGCCCUCCCUGGAGCCCACCUCCUGCUCUGGGCCGCCUCUGCUCCACGGGCACCGGGGCGUGGGUCCUGCCCGGGGACGGCGCUCCAGGGGGAGAAGCAGCUGCAGAACGAUGCCCGCCGCUGCGUGGUGCCGCAGCCUUGAGGGAGGGGGCUGAGUCCAUGCCCAGGAGAAGGACACGAGGGGGGCCAUGCGGAUGCUGGGGCACAGGCAGGGGAGGCUGGCCCAGGGCGCAGGAAGGUGGGGCUGAGAAGACGCGGGAAAGCAGCCUUCCCACUUGAACUUCCUGGCAGUGGCAGGUCUGCUGUGGCGUGGCCAGUGGGGGCCUCUGCCGACUGGCCACAGCAACCCCGCCCCACACCCUGUACGGACACCACCACUCACACACACGGACAGUC
Neomonachus schauinslandi (Hawaiian monk seal) is the source of this 1545-nucleotide RNA transcript. It is a transcript of the gene named RNA polymerase III subunit H, with no coding region annotated. The transcript is spliced from 8 exons. Lineage: Eukaryota; Metazoa; Chordata; Mammalia; Carnivora; Phocidae. The record is from RefSeq and is a predicted model, not a curated record.